CUAACAUUUUGUGUGGAAGGGGUAUUUUUACAAGUGCUAUAUUUGCAAAAGAAAUUCCCGCUCUUUCACUCCAAGUCGGUUGAUUUCCCUCCUCUUUCUUGUAUCCAAAUGGCGCGGGUUUCAAUUGAAAUAAUUGUCUCUCUAAAAUACUACAAAGUGAAAGGUAAAUCUGCUACUAAACAAAACAGGCAAAGCUUAACAACAAUACCGUUAGGGUUCCUUUGGCUUCUCUUCUGAAAGCUUCAAUGGCUUCUUUUUCCUCAAGAAGUUCCUGCUUUCAUUGUGAAGAAUCAACGUCAGAUAAUUUCAGAAAUGGUUGGCGUCUUCGCAGUUGCAAAUUCGCUCAGCUCUGUCAUCUUUGCGCUUCUGUAUAUGAGGCCGAUAGGUUUUGCGAGACUUUCCAUAGAAGAGAUGAUGGCUGGAGAUAUUGUGAGUCAUGUGGCAAGUUGAGUGGAAAAAGUUGGUCCAUUGUGGAUGUAUUGUAUCAUUCAACGCAUAUCUGCUGUUGGAUUUUGGUGGAAUUAUGUGCAUGGAGUGCUCUAAGAAGAAUUUCGUUCUUGCACGGAACCAUUGCUUGUCUCAUGAACGUCGAGUGCCACCUGGAGAAUCUCUGCUGGUCCCAGCAAAACUUGGUAUCGCCGGUUGCAUCCCUCCCGCUAAUGCAGCAUGCAUUUUUUGACUGAGAUUAGUGAUAGAAUAUCCUUUUGAUCUAUGAUGACCAUUAGUGAAUUAGUUGAUCAUAGUACAGUCAAACCUUUCUAUAACAACAUCCCUAUAUAACACUUCUCCAUAAAAGCCAAGCUUUUCGGAAUCAAUUUUUAUAUUAUGUUAUAAUAUAUGUUCUCUAUAACAGACUUCGCUAUAACAUCCAAAAAUAUUCAGAACAAACGAGGCUGUUAUAGAGAAGUUUGACUGUAGUAUAAGUAGUUUUCAAGCUAAAGGAGGUUAGUUGCAUGUUCAAGUUCAUUGGAGUACCAUUUAAGUUUUAAGAAAACAAUCUGAAGAUGAUAUAUUCCUACUUCCUUUUACUCGUGCAUGGGACAUUAUCAUCGUACCCUGACCAGUAGUUGUUUGGUUUUGUAGUUACUUUUUAUCGAAUUGAACCAGGAAAGAAAUUGUUCAUGGGAUUAAGGAAAAGUUCUGCUGGUUCUACCACCUCAUAGGUUUCAGCUCGAUGUCCUGGAACAGGACUGGCUACACUUCAAUGCAUUUGGCUAUGUAUCCAGGGAAGCUGUUGGUGUUAUCUGUGCAAACUAUCCAAACAUUUUAGCAGAUCAAUGUCUAGUCAAACCGAUGCCUGUUUGAAUAUGUAAAGGUUUCUCUGUUGUUUCCCACAAGUUUCUGCAUGUAAAGAACAACAACAACAACAACAUACCCAGUGUAUUCCCACAAGUGGAGUUUGGGGAGGGUAAUGUGUAUGCAGACCUUACCCCUACUUUGUGGCGGUAGAAAGACCGUUUCUGAUAGGCUCUCGGCUCAAGAAAAGCAGUUCUAAGCAUGAUUCUGCAUGUAAAGAAGUCAUAAUUUUUUUGAACCUAUAUUCAAGUAUGAAGAGCAGUAGAUAGCCUUCAGAAAAGAGUCUCAAACUGUUUUAGUUCCUCCUCUUUGACCUAAUAUUAGUUUCAUCUAUUCCCCAUUUUAAAUCUGUUGCAGCAAAGGAGGGGCAGAAAUGCAUCCAAGUUUGGAGGGAGUCAAAGUGAUCAUGAGCAUGUCGUAGACCCUCUCUGCUUUUUCGUCUUCCCGGGAAUGAAGACUUUAUAAAACAAAUGAUUUUUCUUUAAUACUAUUUUUUUUCAUUUUUGU
Nicotiana tabacum (common tobacco) is the source of this 1803-nucleotide non-coding RNA. NCBI's taxonomy places the organism in Eukaryota, Viridiplantae, Streptophyta, Magnoliopsida, Solanales, Solanaceae. The record is from RefSeq and is a predicted model, not a curated record.